GACGAACCGUGCAAACGUUAUUCGGAAUCACUGGGCAUAAAGGGCGCGUAGGCGGCUUUCGAAGUCAGGGGUGAAAUCCGGCAGCUCAACUGUCGCAGUGCCUUUGAUACUGGAGAGCUCGAGGGAGGUAGGGGUCUGUGGAACUUCCGGUGGAGCGGUGAAAUGCGUUGAUAUCGGAAGGAACGCCGGUGGCGAAAGCGACGGACUGGAUCUCUUCUGACGCUGAGGCGCGAAAGCCAGGGGAGCAAACGGG
Molecule: ribosomal RNA, 253 nt
Filed under: uncultured bacterium
Lineage: Bacteria
Description: partial 16S ribosomal RNA
Rfam family: Bacterial small subunit ribosomal RNA
Source: RNAcentral